GGAAGUGUUUGUCACCUGGUGGCGGCCUCGGUCUUCAAAACCGAUGUGCGGUGCGGCGACGCUCCGCAGGUGGGUUCGAUUCCCAUACACUUCCGCCA
This 98-nucleotide transfer RNA is filed under the name Planctomycetes bacterium MalM25. Its description in RNAcentral is "tRNA-Sec". It matches the Rfam family "Selenocysteine transfer RNA". The record is from RNAcentral. Lineage: Bacteria; Pseudomonadati; Planctomycetota.